AGGACGAACGCUGGCGGCGUGCUUAACACAUGCAAGUCGAACGGUAAGGCCCUUUCGGGGGUACACGAGUGGCGAACGGGUGAGUAACACGUGGGUGAUCUGCCCUGCACUUUGGGAUAAGCCUGGGAAACUGGGUCUAAUACCGAAUACACCUUUCUGGUCGCAUGGCCUGGUGAGGGAAAGCUUUUGCGGUGUGGGAUGGGCCCGCGGCCUAUCAGCUUGUUGGUGGGGUGAUGGCCUACCAAGGCGACGACGGGUAGCCGGCCUGAGAGGGUGUCCGGCCACACUGGGACUGAGAUACGGCCCAGACUCCUACGGGAGGCAGCAGUGGGGAAUAUUGCACAAUGGGCGCAAGCCUGAUGCAGCGACGCCGCGUGAGGGAUGACGGCCUUCGGGUUGUAACCUCUUUCAGUAGGACGAAGCGCAAGUGACGGUACCUACGAGAAGAAGCACCGGCCAACGUACGUGCCAGCAGCCGC
RNAcentral lists this ribosomal RNA (479 nucleotides) under uncultured bacterium. RNAcentral's name for it is "SSU rRNA". It matches the Rfam family "Bacterial small subunit ribosomal RNA", at positions 26 to 518 of the family's 1533-position model. The record is from RNAcentral.